GACGAACGCUGGCGGCGUGCUUAACACAUGCAAGUCGAACGGGCCUUGUCCCCUUUUUUUUUGGGGGUGGGGUUAGUGGCGAACGGGUGAGUAACACGUGAGUAACCUGCCCCUCACUUCUGGAUAACCGCUUGAAAGGGUGGCUAAUACGGGGUGUUCUGGCCUGCUCGCAUGGGUGGGUUUGGAAAGAUUCGACCGGUUUUGGUUGUUUUGGUGGGGGAUGGGCUCGCGGCCUAUCAGCUUGUUGGUGGGGUGAUGGCCUGCCAAGGCUUUGACGGGUAGCCGGCCUGAGAGGGUGGGCGGUCACACUGGGACUGAGACACGGCCCAGACUCCUACGGGAGGCAGCAGUGGGGAAUAUUGCACAAUGGGCGCAAGCCUGAUGCAGCGACGCCGCGUGAGGGAUGGAGGCCUUCGGGUUGUGAACCUCUUUCGCCAGUGAAGAAGGUCCU
RNAcentral lists this ribosomal RNA (451 nucleotides) under Actinomyces massiliensis. RNAcentral describes it as "bacterial SSU rRNA". It matches the Rfam family "Bacterial small subunit ribosomal RNA", at positions 28 to 455 of the family's 1533-position model. The record is from RNAcentral. Lineage: Bacteria; Bacillati; Actinomycetota; Actinomycetes; Actinomycetales; Actinomycetaceae.